RNAcentral lists this ribosomal RNA (393 nucleotides) under uncultured bacterium. RNAcentral's name for it is "partial 16S ribosomal RNA". It matches the Rfam family "Bacterial small subunit ribosomal RNA", at positions 523 to 918 of the family's 1533-position model. The record is from RNAcentral.
AUACGGAGGAUCCGAGCGUUAUCCGGAUUUAUUGGGUUUAAAGGGAGCGUAGGUGGACAGUUAAGUCAGUUGUGAAAGUUUGCGGCUCAACCGUAAAAUUGCAGUUGAUACUGGCUGUCUUGAGUACAGUAGAGGUGGGCGGAAUUCGUGGUGUAGGGGUGAAAUGCUUAGAUAUCACGAAGAACUCCGAUUGCGAAGGCAGCUCACUGGACUGCAACUGACACUGAUGCUCGAAAGUGUGGGUAUCAAACAGGAUUAGAUACCCUGGUAGUCCACACAGUAAACGAUGAAUACUCGCUGUUUGCGAUAUACAGUAAGCGGCCAAGCGAAAGCAUUAAGUAUUCCACCUGGGGAGUACGCCGGCAACGGUGAAACUCAAAGGAAUUGGCGGGG